This 127-nucleotide ribosomal RNA is filed under the name Tuberculina photiniae. RNAcentral's name for it is "partial 28S ribosomal RNA". Lineage: Eukaryota; Fungi; Basidiomycota; Pucciniomycetes; Helicobasidiales; Helicobasidiaceae. The record is from RNAcentral.
UUUAGACCUCAAAUCAGGUGGGACUACCCGCUGAACUUAAGCAUAUCAAAACGUGCAAGGGCGCAUCAAUUCGGGGUGGGGACCUACCCGCUGAACCUUAACGCAUAUCAAUAAGCCCGAGAGAGAA